CUUGGAGGUGACAGCAGGGCAGGCUCGGGAACAGGAUCGCUCUUUUUGUUCUGGUAAUAUGCCAGGCAUUUCCUCCAUCCGCUAUCCCAGUUUUCCAAUAAGAGGGAGGCCGGAGGUAUGCGCUGGGCGGGCUGGGCUUGCUUCUCUCUGGCGUUCCUCGAUGGCCUAACGGAGGCAGGAAUACCAGGGAUACGGUUUCCCUCUGGAAAACAGACAAAGACAUUCCAAGGAGGAACAGCUCAAGUGCCUACACAGCAAUAAUGUCUGCUUAAAAUUCUAGCCACGUAGACUAGAGUACCUGUGAAUCUCGCUGAGUUUAAGGUUUUGGGUGUAUAAUGUAACAGUUAAGAUUUCUUUACCAAAUAAACAAAUUUUGAAGUUA
Molecule: long non-coding RNA, 382 nt
Organism: Micropterus dolomieu (smallmouth bass)
Lineage: Eukaryota; Metazoa; Chordata; Actinopteri; Centrarchiformes; Centrarchidae
Exons: 2
Source: RefSeq, a predicted model, not a curated record